Molecule: ribosomal RNA, 276 nt
Filed under: uncultured microorganism
Description: partial 16S ribosomal RNA
Rfam family: Bacterial small subunit ribosomal RNA
Source: RNAcentral
GAGUUUGAUCCUGGCUCAGGAUGAACGCUGGCGGCGUGCCUAAUACAUGCAAGUCGAGCGAACGGACGAGAAGCUUGCUUCUCUGAUGUUAGCGGCGGACGGGUGAGUAACACGUGGGUAACCUACCUAUAAGACUGGGAUAACUCCGGGAAACCGGGGCUAAUACCGGAUAACAUAUGAAACCGCAUGGUUUCAUGAUGAAAGGCGGUCUUGCUGUCACUUAUAGAUGGAUCCGCGCUGCAUUAGCUAGUUGGUAAGGUAACGGCUUACCAAGGC